RNAcentral lists this ribosomal RNA (253 nucleotides) under uncultured bacterium. RNAcentral's name for it is "partial 16S ribosomal RNA". It matches the Rfam family "Bacterial small subunit ribosomal RNA", at positions 524 to 776 of the family's 1533-position model. The record is from RNAcentral.
UACGUAGGGUGCGAGCGUUGUCCGGAAUUAUUGGGCGUAAAGAGUAUGUAGGCGGCCAGGUAGGUCUGCUGUGAAAACUCGAGGCUUAACCUCGAGCUGUCGGCGGAAACCAUCUGGCUAGAGUCCGGAAGAGGAGAAUGGAAUUCCCGGUGUAGCGGUGAAAUGCGCAGAUAUCGGGAAGAACACCCGUGGCGAAGGCGGUUCUCUGGGACGGUACUGACGCUGAGACGCGAAAGCGUGGGGAGCGAACAGG